This 476-nucleotide ribosomal RNA is filed under the name uncultured bacterium. Its description in RNAcentral is "partial 16S ribosomal RNA". It matches the Rfam family "Bacterial small subunit ribosomal RNA", at positions 30 to 507 of the family's 1533-position model. The record is from RNAcentral.
UUGAACGCUGGCGGCAUGCCUUACACAUGCAAGUCGAACGGUAACAGGUUAAGCUGCCGCGUGGCGAACGGGUGAGUAAUGUAUCGGAACGUGCCCAGUCGUGGGGGAUAACUGCUCGAAAGAGCAGCUAAUACCGCAUACGACCUGAGGGUGAAAGCGGGGGAUCGCAAGACCUCGCGCGAUUGGAGCGGCCGAUAUCAGAUUAGGUAGUUGGUGAGGUAAAGGCUCACCAAGCCGACGAUCUGUAGCUGGUCUGAGAGGACGACCAGCCACACUGGGACUGAGACACGGCCCAGACUCCUACGGGAGGCAGCAGUGGGGAAUUUUGGACAAUGGGCGCAAGCCUGAUCCAGCCAUGCCGCGUGCGGGAAGAAGGCCUUCGGGUUGUAAACCGCUUUUGUCAGGGAAGAAAAGGUUCUGGCUAAUACCUGGGACUCAUGACGGUACCUGAAGAAUAAGCACCGGCUAACUACGUG